AGGAUAUAAAUAAUGCUGAAGCAGAGUUACGUUUUUUUUGUUGUUGUUUUUUUUGUUUUUGUUUUUUUAGGUUUCCGUGUGUUUCUAUUGAGCUGCUCAGUGCCCGGCUUAGAAGACCAGGAAAAGGAGUCACAGGUCGUAUGCUGGAGGCUUGAGCCGCGGCACCGUGGCGCGGCUCGCCUCGCUGCGGUUGGUGGUGGCGGUGGACAUUGCAGCGCGGCUGGAGGGGUAGGAAGAAGAAGAUAGUUUUGGGAUAGAUAGAGGGUCCUUAGACAAGGUGCAAGACAAACAGAAGAGGGCAUGUGGGGUCAAACUCGCUAGCUGCCUGCCUGAUUUUUCUGCACACAGGUGAGAUAUUCCUGCACAUCCUCUGGUGACCCCAGAAUGAGGGGGACUCGCUGGUGAAUUGCCUCGGGCUUCACGUCCAGUACAGGCUGGGUCCCCGUGGUCGCCAAGCCUCCUGCCUGCUCAAUGAUGUAGGCCACGGGAUUGCAUUCAUACAGGAGCCGGAGCUGUGGAGGAACAGAGGCAGGUUCCUUGGGAUUUUCUACAUAGACCAUCAUGUCGUCUGCAAGAACAGUGUUAUUACCUGCUUUCCAAUCUGUAUGUGUUUCAUCAUCUUCCUUGCCUUAUUGUGCUGGCUACAACUUUCAGGAUUACAUAUGUUGGGUAACAGUGGCGAGUGAGGACAUCCUUGCUUUGUUACUGAUCUUAGAGUAUAAGCAUUCAGUCUUUCACCAUUAAAUGUAAUGCUAGCUGUAGAUGUACUUGAUAGAGUUAAGGGACGCUCCUCCUCUAUUUCUUGUUUUCUAAGACUUUCUGUUUUUUCAGAGACAGGGUCUUGCUCUGUUGCCCAGGGUGGAGUGCAGUGGCUUGGUCAUGGCUCACUGCAGCCUCCAACUCCUGGGCUUAAGUCAUCCUCCCAUCUCAACUUCUUGAGUAGCUGGGACUACGGGUAUGCACUACCACCCCCCUCUCCAGCUAAUGUCUUUUUUGAGAUGGGGGUCUUGCUAUGUUGCCCAGGCUGGUCUCAAACUCCUGGCCUCAAGCAAUCCUCCUACCUCAGCAAGUUUCUUUUUUAAAUAAUGAAUGAGUGUUGAAUUUGUUCAAAUGUUUUUUCUCCAUCAAUAGAUACGAUUAUGUGAUUUUUCUUCUUUAGCCUGUUGAUAUGGUGGAUUACACUGACUGAUUAUGAAUACUGGAUCAGUCUUCCAUCACCAGAAUAAACCCCACUCAGCCAUGGUGUAUAAUUUAUUUUAUGUAUUGUUGAAUUCUAUUUGCCAAUAUUUUGUUAAGAGUUUUUGCAUUUAUUGAUAAGGAAUAUUGGUCUGUGGUAUUUUUUUGAACAAUCUUUGUCUGGUUUUUGUAUCAGGAUAACACUGGUUUCAUAAAAUGAAUUGGGAAGUGUUCCUUCCUAUUAUCUUUUCUGGAAGAGACUGAAUAAUCUGUGAAUAUUUGUUAUGUUUUUCCAGUAAACCAUCUGAGCCUGGAGAUUUCUUUUCUUGGGCAUGAGUUUCUUAAUAGUAUUGAGCCCUGUAGAUAGCCAUUCAAAGUAUCUAUUUUAUAUUGGGUGAGUUAGAGUAUUGUAGUUUUUGAGACAUUGGUUCGUUUCAUCUAAGUUGUCAAAUGUAUGCAUGUGGAGUUGUUUCUAAUAUUCUCUUUUUAUCCUUUUGAAAAACAAGGCAACCUGAGAUUAACAAUCUACUGCAUAAAUACACAAUUCUCUGAUCAUUUUCCCAAGAUAAAUUCCCAAUAAUUAAAUAAUUGGGUAAAAAUCUUUUGAUACAUAUUGAAAAAUUGUCCUCCAGAAAGAGUGCAUCAAUUUAUACUUUUACCACUAAUAAUAAGAGAGUUCAUUUUAAUUCAGCCUGGUAAACACAAGAUAGCAUUGUCUUUUCAACUUUGUCAAUUUGACAGGUGGACAAAAUGACAUCUCUUUUGUUUUAACUUCUAUUUUUUAUGAGUCAGGUAAAACCUUUUAUAUGUUUAUUUUGACCAUUUUUAUUUUGUAAGUUGUCUCUUUCAUGUCUUGCUUAUUUUUCUAUCAGGAUAUUCAACUUCUUGUUUAUUUUAAUAGCUCUUUAUAUAUAAAGGAUAUUAAUGUCUUGUAUAUGUCACAAAUAUUUUCCUCGAUUGUCAUUGCCUUCUUAUUUAUGGUGCCUGUUUUUGCAGUGCAGUUUUAAAAUUAAAAUUAUUCAUGACAUUCCA
Molecule: long non-coding RNA, 2208 nt
Filed under: Homo sapiens (human)
Lineage: Eukaryota; Metazoa; Chordata; Mammalia; Primates; Hominidae
Description: prostate cancer associated transcript 7, transcript variant 5 (PCAT7)
Source: RNAcentral